UGUUUAUUUUGAAUUUUCUUUUAUUAGUUAUUUGUGUUUUAAUUAGUGUUGCUUUUUUAACUUUAUUAGAGCGUAAGGUUUUAGGUUACAUCCAAAUUCGAAAGGGCCCAAAUAAAGUAGGUUUUGUAGGAAUUCCUCAACCCUUUAGUGAUGCUAUUAAGUUAAUUUGUAAG
This is a long non-coding RNA of Schistocerca cancellata (South American locust), 173 nucleotides long. RefSeq lists it as uncharacterized. The transcript is spliced from 2 exons. Lineage: Eukaryota; Metazoa; Arthropoda; Insecta; Orthoptera; Acrididae. The record is from RefSeq and is a predicted model, not a curated record.